RNAcentral lists this long non-coding RNA (4143 nucleotides) under Malus domestica (apple). RNAcentral describes it as "long non-coding RNA (MDOM_LNC019353)". Lineage: Eukaryota; Viridiplantae; Streptophyta; Magnoliopsida; Rosales; Rosaceae. The record is from RNAcentral.
CUUAAACACAUGAUACAAUAAAUAGUGAUUAACAAUAAGCUUUGCCCUUCAUUAAACAUAUAAAAGUUUUAUACAAUAAGUAUUCCAAAAACUAUUACAUCAAAUGAGUGGCUUUGUGGGCAUACUUCCAACAGCUUUGUGGGCAUACUUCCAACAAUUGAUAUGUCGAAGGGUCAUAGCCCCCGAGCCUCGAUUGAUGGCGCUCGUCCUCAGGAUAGGUCUCAGCUAUAUGCGAAAUAACUGAAUAAACGUUAUUUAAAGCACACAUACAAAACUAGAAAAUAACUUCCCAUACAAAGCUCAAAUGGGUAUUUGAAUAUACCAUCAUAACCUACUCAACCUUAGGAACAUCCCUAAAUUUUUAGAAAAAUUUUCCGACCACCCACGCCCCGGCCAAGUCACAGCCAGACGCGCCCCCACGCGCGGCCAAACCCUAAAUGAAACUUAUUUGCCGUUAAGAAUAUUCCGUUAAAACCUUAACAGAAAUUAAUGGCGUUACCUAAUGCCGUUAGAAUAUUCUGUCAGACUUGACGAAAUAUUCCCCUUCGUCUUCCUUGGAUCGCCGGAGAUCGUUGUCGGCGUCGGUUUCUGGAAAAAUAAUCAAACCUUCAUAUCUUCUUCGAUUUUCAACCAAAAUUCACAAAAUUUAUACCAAAUUGAAUCUUAGGAUGAGAGGAACAAAACCUUACUACUUUCAAGCCUUGAAAUGCACGGGAUUUCGCCGGAGGAACCUCGAUAAUCCGACCAAACUUGAAACUUGCCAAACUCGACUUCCCGAUGUCCAAAACACUUCGUUUUUCUUCUCCAACCUUCACGAAGACAUCCUAAAGCUCACCAGCAGUUUAAAACCUCCUAAAAAUUUCACAUUCACGAUCACAUGAAUAGUGUAUCAAAACUGGGAUUUUUGGUCCUCGGAAAAACAAGAUUUUCACGUCAAAUUAAGGGCAUGGAUGACCACCUAGACUCACGAGGAACACAAAAACAACCACCUCGACGUUGAUCCGUGAAGAUAGGGUUUGGUUUGGAUACUAUUGAUAGGAGCAUAUUUAUGCGACUUAGUUAGCUUGUUAUUGUGCAUUUAUGUUGUUAUUUCUUAGUCAAUUAUGUAUUUUAAGCUAUUUUCGUGUGUUUGUAGGUUCAAAUAACAAAGUUAGCAACAAAGUGCUAUUUGGAGCAUUUUGGAGCAUUUUUGGGCCAAUAUUGGAUAGGGCAAGCAUGGAGACAUGAGGAUGGACGUUUUUUAAGAGAUUUGAAGGCUAGAAAUCAGCAUGUGUGUUGACCUACAACUCCAAAAAUCCAUCCACUACACCCAUUACAUCCACUCAUUACCAAACACUCAUCCACUACACCCAUUAUAUCCACUCAUUACCAAACAUCUAUCCACUACACCCAUUACAUCCACUCAUUACCAAACACUCAUCCACUACACCCAUUACAUCCACUCAUUACCAAACACUCACCCACUACACCCAUUACAUCCAAUCAUUACCAAACAUCCAUCCACUACACCCAUUACAUCCACUCAUUACCAAACACUCACCCAUUACAUCCACCCCCAUUACAUCCACUCAUUACCAAACAUCCAUCCACUACACCCAUUACAUCCACUCAUUACCAUAACAUACACCACUACCACCUUAAUUAGAUGGUUGUCCUCUCCCUAGCCUAUAAAUACAUCCACCCUUCACCAUAACAAAGGGAGGAAGGAGGGAGGCGAAAAGAUCCGUCCAAAGACACUACAUUCACAUCUCACAACUUCAUACACUUACACUUUCAUUCCUUGGACGUGAGCACCAUCCAUUCCUCCAUACAACCAACCCUUCAAACACUCACCAACACCUUGUACCGUAGCAAAGGAAGGGAAGGAAAGUGCUUGGACGUGCUUGCUGUCCAACUUGGAUCGUUGAAGCGUUUAGGUGUUUUCUUUCUUUUGUUUUCAAUGUCUAAAUUUGUUUAUCUUUGCUUUGUAAUUAUGACGAACUAAACCCCCCUUAGCUAGGGGGGAAUUCGAAACCAUGUUCACGCUUGCAAUAUGAUUUGAUUACCUUCAGUUGUGAUUUCAUAAGUUGUGAAUUCAAUUUGUUUAACUGCUUGAUUGAUAACUUAUUCAUGUAUGUUUAUUAAGAGUGCACACUUAGUUUGCAUGCAUGAAUAUGAUGCUAGAGUAUAAGGGAGUUUCACCUAAUAGUUACAAACUUAGAUUCACAAGUAGUGGAGGUCGCUUAUAAACGAUCGCGUUUAAUAAAUUCUUGGCAAGAGUUUCAUGCUCAUCAUAGUAACGAAUGCCUUGUCAAUACUUAUAGUUUUCAUAAUGCUUAAUGAUCUUUGAUUGUAUCUUUAUUGUGUUGUUCACGUAAAGAACUUUUGAAGAAUGCUUGAAUUGUUGUAUGCGCUUUCCCAUCCAAUUCAAUAACUUAAGGAGAACUUGAAGGUUAAUUUAAGCGGACUUAAUUAACCUGGGGUAUUGAGUUUCAUGAUUGAUCGAAAGAACAACUGAAAAUUGGUUUAUGUGCAAGUAUGUCAUGUGUGGAGAAGAACCUCCUAGCUAGCCUUCCGUCCAUUCAAUUUACUCAAAUUCGUGCAGAUUUCAUUAGUUCUUUAAUUUAUUUGUUUUGUUUUCAAAUUCGUCAAAAUCCAAUCCCCCUUUACUUUAAAGUGUUUUAUUAGUUAAAAUCUGUUUUGAUUUGUGUUUUUAAGUGUCUUGAGUCAAGUUAGAACCUAAUUUCGUCCAAACCCAUCCCUAGAGUCAGUUUAGAGUCUAAUGCAUUGUUUUAAGCUGGUUUGAGUCUUUUAAACUAGUUUUGAGUCUUUUUAGUUUGUAUUGCAUCUUUUGAGUCUAGUUUGGUGUUUUAAACUUAAUUCUACAUUUUUAAGUCAGUUUCAGGUGUUUUAGCAAUCCCUCCUAAUCCUCGGCCUAGAACGAUCCCUACUUACAUUCUUUACUACAAUUGACAACAAGAGGGUUUAAUUUGUGUGUUAAGUUAAUUUUCGCAUCAAAUUUUUGGCGCUGUUGCCGGGGAUUAGCAACUUUGCUAAUCCCCUGUUGUUUCUUUUUCAUGUUUUUUGUUUUAGUUACUAACUUUGUUUCUAUUUGUGUCUUUUAUUUUUACUUAUGAUAUUUGAUUUAGUUUUGUUUCUUUGAUUUCAGGUCCUAGAUAAGUAAGACAUGGAUUUUGCUACCAUUCAAGCUCAAUUGGCGAAACUUACUUCUCAAUUGUCACAAUAUCCCAAAAGGACCACAAUCCAAAGUGUCCCUACAUAUGGUGUGUCCUAUGGGCAAGGAUAUCCAACUCAUCAAUGUUCUCAAUUCGCUACGAAUGAAGAUGCUUGAGGUUAUCAAGGCCAUACCCAAUCAUGGGACAACAUGUUUUCCAACGCUUACAAUUCGGAUUGGAGAGAUUAUUCAGAUUACAUGUGGGGAGAACCUCAACAAUUCCAACAAGAUAGAUAUUGGCAGCAAGAAGAGGAGUUCUAUUCAAGACCUAUGCAGCCACCACAACCUCCUCCACAACAAUUCCAAUCAAAUUCAAGUAUGCCUAUGAGUUAUGAUGAAAUUCUUGAUGUACUAACCUCGUUGACGCAGGGCUCACAACAAGAAGAAUAUUUGCCGCCAUUGGAUGAGUUCUAUCACUGGCCAUAUGAACCAUCACAGCCACCACAACAAUCUGCCCAAUUCAAUUCAGGUAUGUCUUUGGAUAAUGAUAUGUUUAAUAAGUUACUCACCUCUUUGAACCAGGAAGUAGAAAAUCGAAACAAAGAGAUGCAAAAUCAAGCCAAGAAGAUUGGUGAAUUAGACAAGCAAAUUGGGCAGAUUAUGAAGUUCAUAGCACAAAUUCAAGAGCAAAGUGAACUCUCCAACUCAACUAUAGAAAAUUUGAAGGAAGAUUUUGAAAUCCAUGAUGCUAUCACUUUGGGAAGUGCUAUGGAGGUUGGAGAUGAACCCAAGACAUCCAAACCAAGCCAAAACAUGGAUGAACAGCUGCUGCUCGAAGAAGUGGAGAAUAACAAGGCCACGGCAAGGGAAGAACCACCCUUGCCACAACCCCAUAUGCCCUCUAUGCCAUCCACUACAACCAAGGUAAGCUUAAAUUCAAUUUGUCCUGACCCCGUUUCACCAAAUGUCCUUAUUCCUUGCAGGAUCAU